RNAcentral lists this long non-coding RNA (1243 nucleotides) under Homo sapiens (human). Its description in RNAcentral is "HSALNT0041620". The record is from RNAcentral. Lineage: Eukaryota; Metazoa; Chordata; Mammalia; Primates; Hominidae.
CUGUCAUGUAUGAAUCACAUACUGGAAACAGUAUAAGAAAUCUGCUGUUUUCUCUCUCCAUUAUGAACUUCUAAUUACUAAAACGACAUUAAACCCUGGAAUUUAUGAAUAUUUGAAACACUUGGAUUUUCUGAAACAAAUAUGAAAUUCACAAAAGGGAUAAGGAAGUUGUUAAUUUUGCAAGGUACUCCAGAUGUUUAGGCUUCAAGGCAUCAUUGGCAGAUUACUCCUGAAGAAAGACAAGUUCAGGACAAGAACAUAGAUGGCGCUUUUGCCCUGUUGACCCCUUUGCCACCUGCUCCCUCCAGGAGAGAACCUUGGUGGUGAAACAGCUAAUGGUUCACAUCCUUUGGCCCACCGUGAUGUGCUUCAGAAAACUACUCAUUUGAGCGACAUAUAAAUUACUAAUGAUGUAUGAAUUAUGAUUACAAUCAUUUGAAACAUGGAUAGAAGUGUAACCAAGCACCAGAAACGCCUGUAGAAAAUCAAAGAUAGUUUUGUUAUGAAGUGGCCCUGUGGAUAGGGCAUUUCCUUUUUCAAAAUGCUUCUUGUUUCAUACAUCUCCUUUUGGGGAAAGUAUUGCUACUAUUCAUAGUGAACUGGCUAGACAAACCACUGCACGUGCAUGCAAAGACACACACAAAGACACACCCACACACAGUUCAAUUCAAUCGAAUGGUAGGUGUUUCCCCUACGUGUCUCCAGACAAUUCGUACUUUUACACACAUUUGAAAGUUUUAACAUUAUUUUUUGGUCCACAAGAGGUUUUUUUUUUUUUUUUUCCUUUUGAACACAAGUAGCCUGGCAGCAAAUAUCUAAAAAUUAUGCAACAGACAUAGUUUUUAUUCCAUGUGUGGAGCAUCUGCCAGAAACUCCAGAGCAGGAGGAGGGGUGAUGCUUUGUGUUUCAUCUCAAGAAGCAGGAGCCGCCUUCCAGUUUUGGGUAACCCCUGGCCCAGCAUGGUGGUGGGGAUGAAAAGCUGGGGAGGUGAAGCUCUAGCACUGACCAGAGCAAGGAAAGGGAAAAAUUCACAUACGAAAUCUUUUGAAAAUGCUGUUGUUGAAAAUAUUACUAUUGUUUUGUAUUCCACUAUGUGAUCCUAGGUUAUGAGUAAAACAAUGGAUAACUCAUGGCCCCCAACUCCCAUGAAUUAGUGAAAAACGUUGAUAUCUUUUUCAACCUAAAAUUCAAGAUGCAGCAUAUUAUAUGAACAUUGCUCUACUAAUAAAGAUAAAAAUUGCUA